This 253-nucleotide ribosomal RNA is filed under the name uncultured bacterium. RNAcentral's name for it is "partial 16S ribosomal RNA". It matches the Rfam family "Bacterial small subunit ribosomal RNA", at positions 524 to 776 of the family's 1533-position model. The record is from RNAcentral.
UACAGAGGUCUCAAGCGUUGUUCGGAUUCAUUGGGCGUAAAGGGUGCGUAGGCGGCGCCGUAAGUCGGGCGUGAAAUUUCGGAGCUUAACUCCGAAACUGCAUUCGAUACUGCGGUGCUUGAGGACUGGAGAGGAGACUGGAAUUCAUGGUGUAGCAGUGAAAUGUGUAGAGAUCAUGAGGAAGACCAGUGGCGAAGGCGGGUCUCUGGACAGUUCCUGACACUGAGGCACGAAGGCCAGGGGAGCAAACGGG